GAUGAACGCUAGCUACAGGCUUAACACAUGCAAGUCGAGGGGAAACGACAUCGAAAGCUUGCUUUUGAUGGGCGUCGACCGGCGCACGGGUGAGUAACGCGUAUCCAACCUGCCCACCACUUGGGGAUAACCUUGCGAAAGUAAGACUAAUACCCAAUGACGUCUCUAGAAGACAUCUGAAAGAGAUUAAAGAUUUAUCGGUGAUGGAUGGGGAUGCGUCUGAUUAGCUUGUUGGCGGGGUAACGGCCCACCAAGGCGACGAUCAGUAGGGGUUCUGAGAGGAAGGUCCCCCACAUUGGAACUGAGACACGGUCCAAACUCCUACGGGAGGCAGCAGUGAGGAAUAUUGGUCAAUGGGCGAGAGCCUGAACCAGCCAAGUAGCGUGCAGGAUGACGGCCCUAUGGGUUGUAAACUGCUUUUAUAAGGGAAUAAAGUGAGCCUCGUGAGGCUUUUUGCAUGUACCUUAUGAAUAAGGACCGGCUAAUUCCGUG
RNAcentral lists this ribosomal RNA (492 nucleotides) under uncultured bacterium. Its description in RNAcentral is "bacterial SSU rRNA". It matches the Rfam family "Bacterial small subunit ribosomal RNA", at positions 28 to 507 of the family's 1533-position model. The record is from RNAcentral.